CAAAGAGGAAACUAUUUAGGGCUUGGUACCACUUAAGCUCCCCUUGAUUAAACGGGAAUUAGCCAGCAGAGAGUUACUGGAAAGCCUCCCUGCUCCGAGGGGUGACCACGCUACGGACGCGCUGCCGCGACAAUUCGCGCGCGGAAUGCUCGCCCCACGGAAACAGGAAGCCAGAUGACCAUCUUAGGGGAGAUACAGGAAAUCAAGGUAAGUAUACUGUAGCAAUACAAUCUAGGAUAAUAUCCAUCCUUCCUCUGGGGAGGUUUCCCACAAUACUUUAUCCUGAGGGCUUACUUCUGCCUAUUUACAGUAUAUGCCUAGAGUAGAAAUUCAAAGGAGUACAACCUUGCAGUGCAUUUGGGGGCUUCUAAAAUGCUGAUCAUGAGAAGAAAAAUAAAGAGCAUCUUCGUUUUUAAAUAACACCAUGUUUUCUGCAAAAUUAUGAUUGGUUACAUUCUGAUUUUCUAGGUUUGUUGCAAAUAGAAGUGAAUCGGACAACACUCGCCAUCAUAAUUGCUUUCUGUGUGAAGAGGUCUUUUUCAGGCUGAGCUGACUGCUGCUGUUUUAAUCAGAAUGUUGUCUAUUUGUAUGUUAAUAGUUUCAUCCUGGUUUAUUAGGCUUGCUGAUGAAAAAGCAAAAAUCAGAUGCUUUACUAUUUUCAAGCUCCACUAUUAAUCUGUGAUUUUUUUGGUGCUAACACAGAACCAUUUCAGCAUCCUCUGCCUUAAAUCCUCUUAAUGAAAGCAUGAAGAAUGACAAAAUACUUCCUUUCAUAAAGCAGAAGGCUGUGCCAAUUCACUUUCAACAUGCUCAUUCAGUGGAACUGAGGCAUUCAGAUUACAUUUUGGAUGCAAAACCAAUUUUGUUUAAGCCCAUAGCCAAGAAAAUGCAGUAAAUAAAUACAGAAUGUAUGAAUCCCUCUUGAGUACUGUUUUUCAAUCAAUCACAUAUGAAAUUGCCACUAUCUCUGCUUAUAAAAGGAAUGUGAUCAGAAUUUGUCAUCACAGCAUUAUUUGUCCACUUUUUUCCU
This 1030-nucleotide long non-coding RNA is filed under the name Junco hyemalis (dark-eyed junco). RNAcentral describes it as "lncRNA (ENSJHYG00000003494.1)". The record is from RNAcentral. Lineage: Eukaryota; Metazoa; Chordata; Aves; Passeriformes; Passerellidae.